UACAGAGGUGGCAAGCGUUGUUCGGAAUUACUGGGCGUAAAGGGCGCGUAGGCGGCCUUCUAAGUCAGACGUGAAAUCCCCCGGCUUAACCUGGGAACUGCGUCUGAUACUGGGAGGCUUGAGUAUGGGGGAGGGAUGUAGAAUUCCAGGUGUAGCGGUGAAAUGCGUAGAUAUCUGGAGGAAUACCGGUGGCGAAGGCGGCAUCCUGGACCAUAACUGACGCUGAGGCGCGAAAGCUAGGGGAGCAAACGGG
This 253-nucleotide ribosomal RNA is filed under the name uncultured bacterium. Its description in RNAcentral is "partial 16S ribosomal RNA". It matches the Rfam family "Bacterial small subunit ribosomal RNA", at positions 524 to 776 of the family's 1533-position model. The record is from RNAcentral.